AGAAAUAUGUAGAUACAAGAAAAAGCUGCUAACUUUAUUCUUUAGUGGUUUAAUUCCAUUAAUAUUUCU
This 69-nucleotide transfer RNA is filed under the name Psychopsis coelivaga. Its description in RNAcentral is "tRNA-Ser". Lineage: Eukaryota; Metazoa; Arthropoda; Insecta; Neuroptera; Psychopsidae. The record is from RNAcentral.